CCUACGGGAGGCAGCAGUGGGGGAUAUUGCACAAUGGGGGGAACCCUGAUGCAGCGACGCCGCGUGGGUGAAGGAGCGUUUCGGCGCGUAAAGCCCUAUCGGCAAGGAAGAAGAUGACGGUACCUGACCAAGAAUCCCCGGCUAACUACGUGCCAGCAGCCGCGGUACUACGUAGGGGGCAAGCGUUAUCCGGAUUUACUGGGUGUAAAGGGGGCGCAGACGGCAAUGCAAGCCAGGAGUGAAAGCCCGGGGCCCAACCCCGGGACUGCUCUUGAAACUGCAUGGCUGGAGUACAGUAGGGGCAGGCGGAAUGCCUGGUGUAGCGGUGAAAUGCGUAGAUAUUAGGAGGAACACCGUUGGCGAAGGCGGCCUGCUGGACUGUGACUGACGUUGAGGCACGAAGGCGUGGGGAGCAAACAGGAUUAGAUACCCUUGUAGUC
Molecule: ribosomal RNA, 440 nt
Filed under: uncultured bacterium
Lineage: Bacteria
Description: partial 16S ribosomal RNA
Rfam family: Bacterial small subunit ribosomal RNA
Source: RNAcentral